AACUUUUGGCAACGGAUCACUUGGUUCUGGCAUCGAUGAAGAACGCAGCGAAAUGCGAUAAGUAGUGUGAAUUGCAGACUUUAGUGAAUCAUCGAAUCUUUGAACGCACAUUGCGCCCCUUGGUAUUCCAUUGGGCAUGCCUGUUCGAGCGUCAUUUACACCCUCAAGCUCUGCUUGGUGUUGAGCGUCUGUCCUUGCCUUGUGCAAAGACUCGCUCUAAAUGUAUUGGCAGCGGCAUCGCCAGCUUCUUGCGCAGCACAUUGCGCUCUAAGAUUUUGGUGAGCUUGCAUCCAUUAAGAACCCCCCAAGUUUGACCUCGAAUCAGGUAGGGAUACCCGCUGAACUUAAGCAUAUCAAUAAGCGGAGGCU
This 369-nucleotide unclassified non-coding RNA is filed under the name uncultured fungus. Its description in RNAcentral is "sequence contains ITS2". The stretch from base 1 to 154 matches the Rfam family "5.8S ribosomal RNA". The record is from RNAcentral. Lineage: Eukaryota; Fungi.